Molecule: long non-coding RNA, 878 nt
Organism: Dendroctonus ponderosae (mountain pine beetle)
Lineage: Eukaryota; Metazoa; Arthropoda; Insecta; Coleoptera; Curculionidae
Exons: 2
Source: RefSeq, a predicted model, not a curated record
UUCACCACAUCACGCUUGGCUUUACGGGGCCAAGUCAAAAAGUUCAGUCGUUGGUUAGGGGUUCAAUGAAACGUGCGCCCAAAUUUAGUUUUUUGGUUUUAUCGCGAAUGUUUUAUGACGAACAUCGGGAAUUGUAAAUAAGCAGAUCAGUUUUUGUUUCCAGGGUUUUUUAAGUGGGUUCAGGUUGGAUUAAUUGAGCGAGAGGCAAAGUGGUGAUCGGAAUGCGUCCAGUAAUUACCGACCAAAUGAAUAUAGAGUCAUUUCGAAAUCCAUUUUGGCCGUAAUUUCCAUGGAACUCGCGCUUGCAUGCCGAACACGUCUCGGUGCAUGUAAAAAGGGAUGCCAACAUAAACACCUGAAAUACCCCAAUAUCGUUAACAAAUGGCCGUACACGUUUAAAGGUGGGUAUAAUAGCGACGAGUCAACAAUUAUGCUGUGACGUAAGCCAUUAAUUAUAACCUAACCUGUGGUUAGGACUUAACAAGCUGUCACUAGUAGAUUGUUAGCGCGUUAUUUAUGAGAAUUUAAACGCGAACGAUGUGGAGUGCAGGCCGAGAGAGAACGGGAAACGCAAAGGUAGGGCAGCCACUAAAUUGAUAUACCAUUCGUUAUCGAUAUUGUAACGCACAGUGGCGGACUAUCGGAUAGGAGUAGGAUGAACUGAAAGGGGAUCAGAACUGCCAUCGACCCAGCAUCUGCCCUUUUUACUCUCGAAACGAUCAAUUUUUGUCACUGAAUCAAACUUUUGCCUGAAGUUGCCCAAUAAGUCCAAAACUAACUGCAACUCAUGACUGCAUACUUUCCCAAUUAAGUAGCGGAUUAGGGAUAAUUGAUGACUUUGUAAAUAUAGAAAUAAAAUUAAAAUUCAUCGACAGUAA